This 66-nucleotide transfer RNA is filed under the name Azemiops feae. Its description in RNAcentral is "tRNA-Lys". Lineage: Eukaryota; Metazoa; Chordata; Lepidosauria; Squamata; Viperidae. The record is from RNAcentral.
AUCACUAAGAAGCUUAUCAUCAGCAUCAGCCUUUUAAGUUGAAGAGGAAGAAUUUCCUUAGUGGUA